UACGUAGGUGGCGAGCGUUGUCCGGAUUUACUGGGCGUAAAGCGCGUGUAGGCGGCUUUGCAAGUCGGGUGUGAAUCCCUCAGCUUAACUGAGGAAGUGCGCCCGAAACUGCUUUGCUUGAGUGCCGGAGAGGAUGGCGGAAUUCCCCAAGUAGAGGUGAAAUUCGUAGAUAUUCGGAAGAACACCAGUGGCGAAGGCGGCUCACUGGCCCGGUACUGACGCUGAGGUGCGGAAAGCGUGGGGAGCAAACAGGG
This 254-nucleotide ribosomal RNA is filed under the name uncultured bacterium. RNAcentral's name for it is "partial 16S ribosomal RNA". It matches the Rfam family "Bacterial small subunit ribosomal RNA", at positions 524 to 777 of the family's 1533-position model. The record is from RNAcentral.